AUGCGUAUAGAGGAUAUCAAAGCGGACACCAUUGACGUGGCCGUCGAAAGGAUUCUCGUUGAACUUGGGGCAGACACUACAAGCAGCAGAGAGAAUGCCAUCUACUUUGAUGGUUGGGAUGGUCUUGGGGCAUCUGCCGUCCUGCAAGCUGUAGCCGAACGCCUCGCCAUAUCAAAUGAGCCGUCGACGAGGCCCACAGGGCUGGAGUUUGAGAAAAUCAUCCACGUCGACUGCUCCAAGUGGGAGAGCACAAGAGCAAUGCAGAGGGAAAUUGCAGAGCAGCUGAAGCUUCCCAAGUGGGUGAUGGAAAUAUUUGACAAACAAGACGAGGAGGAUGAUUUCAAUGGGUUAGACCAGGGCUCCCGAACUGUGAUAGCACAAGUUGUCAGAGAGAUCUAUCAAGCCACACAAAAUCGCAGAUUCUUGGUGAUUCUGCACAAUGGAAGCAAUGUAGCGAUUGAUGUAUAUAAAUUUGGUCUCUAUAUAUAUGGAUAUGCCAAUAGCAAGAUGCUGUGGACUUUUCAAGGGAGGUUUCGUCUUGACCCCAAGAUGAUAGACAAUGUGAAGAAGAGCACCUCAACUGAUGUUGUUCUUUCAGCUUCAAGAGAUCGACGAGAUCCACAGGAGCUUUGGUCUUACCUACUGCACCAUGAGGCUGCACAAGUUUCCUGCAGCUGCAAUAAGAAUGGCCACGGUAUCAUUGAUCCAGCAAUUGUUGUUGAGUGUGCCUUGUAUGUGCUGAAACAAUGUUGUAUCGGCUCUCCUAUUGUUGACUACGACUGGCCUGCCCACACCAGUAACUAUUGGGUAUGCGACGGGAUCAUUGUGCUGACAGACAUUGACAAAGCAUGGCAAGUUGGCGAUGUUCUGCAGCAUGAGGUGCGUCUGUUGGACAUUGACAACCGGCAUAAUACUGGUGAGUCAACAAUAAUGCCUUCCUCUCACUUGUCAAGGUCUACCGAGCAUAUGCAGUACUGGAUUUCCACAUCAACGUGUGGAUUUGAGCUGAGCUCUUCUGGAGUUAUGCCUGACGACAUGUUUCAGCACUCACACCUACUCGGCGUGCUCAAGCUCUCGAGGUGUACCUUUAGCUUCUCAUCGCCUCCAUUCCUCUGUUGCCAUAGCCUGAGAUUCCUGUCAUUUCUGCACUGCCAAGACCUCCGAACAAGAACAAGCAAUGCACAUCAUUACCACACAGAUUCAGACAAGGAGUUGGACAGCAGCACCACAGUGUUGUGGGAAUGUUUCCAAAGCUUGUGGGUGCUUGAUCUACGCUACACAGAUUGGGACCAGAUCUUGUCAGCACGGAUGAUGGAUCUCAUGACCUGGCUCAGAGAGCUAAUCGUUAUGGGAGCCAAUAACUGGGACAUGAGCCAUUUACGGGGGCGGCUGCGCAACAUUCGCAAGCUUCGUGUAACAAAGUCCACGUGCUGCUUUAACAACGAUGUGUUCUCAGAGAUGGAGAUGUUGGAGCUUCUUGAUUUAUCGGGAAAUACCAUCACACGAGGCAUGACAAGCUUAUCUGGAGCUGCAAGAAACCACAGCCUUCAGACUGUCAUUAUCUAUGGAAAUUAUGGGUUAGAACUGAUCUCUUUUAGGGGCUGCAAAGAAUUGAAGAACCUAUUGCUGAAAGGAUAUUUCUCGAGCCUUGAGGGGCUAGACAUCUCGGGCACAAGUGUGAAAACCCUCGACCUUGGAGGAGUGGAUGCUACCUCACUCCCCGAGAGGAUCAUCUUGCUAGGCUGCAAGAAGCUCCGUGCAAUAUUGUGGCCACAACACAAAAAAAGCCAAGAAUGGUCUGGCAUGCUCCGUAUUGACACCACCUCAACAUCAGCACCAGCUGAUGGAAGGGGAGUACCAAAGGCACAUCAAUCCUUUGAGCAGCAGAAAGAAGAGAAGUUUAAGGGGUGGAAGAUUUCGCUUAAAGAUGCAAGGCUCCUUAGGUCACUUUAUCCCGCCAGAUAUAAAUCCUUAAGAGGCUGCCAUAUUGAUAUCUGCCAUGCAGACACUCUUGUUGGUAGCAAGGUCCUAGAAGCAAGCAGUGACCAACCGUAUUCACGUACUAAAGUAGACUCAAUAUACAGAAAUAUCCUGAAGGCUGGCCCAGCUGCAGCAGUGACAGUAUGGGACUGCCCUAUGAUACCCCUGCCACCGCAAAUGUGGAGGUUUCUCCAGGUAUCAUGUAUCAUAAAGGUGAUCAUGCACGGGCAAGGGAACACACUUUUGGAGGAUGCCUUAUUAUUGCCUGAUUUUAUAUGCGACGGGGCUUCAUCAUUGCAUGUGUAUGAUAACCCUUCCAUCACCAGUGUCCUUGCACCUCCCCAAAGAUCGGGAUGGAAUAGGCUCAUAUGGUGCCGGGUGGAGAGGUGCCCCAAGUUACACGCGGUGUUCACUAUUCCCAUGGUGCAUCAAGGUACAUUCUCUUAUAAUGUUUCCACGGGCUUCCAGAGUCUGAAGACAUUCUGGGCAUCCCAGCUCCUGACAGCACGCUAUAUCUGGGACUGGGACUGGACAACUGCAACAAUGUAUAUUAAACACUCCGGUUACUUUAUAAGUCUGGUAUUCUUGCACCUGGACUACUGCCCCAGGCUCAUACAUGUGCUCGUCUUGGCCACACCUUCGGUCACCUUGGGUGCACUGGAGACCCUUGAGAUAGUGCACUGUGGUGAUCUCAGAGAGGUGUUCCCAUUGGGCCCUGAGCUUCAAGAGCAGGAUAAAAUUAUAAAAUUUCCGAAGCUGAGGCGCAUCCACCUGUGUGAGCUCCCCAAGCUGCAGAGCAUUUGUGGGCAUAAGAUGUAUUCCCCUAACCUCGAGACCAUCAAGAUCACGGGCUGUUGGAGCCUCAGGCGUCUGCCGACUGUUGGAGACAACACCAAGCCCCCCAAGCUGGACUGCGAGAAGGAAUGGUGGAACAACCUGGAGUGGGGUGGCGUGGAGAACCACCACCCUUCCCGGUACGAGUCAAGGCACUCGUUGUACUACAAGGGUCAGCUUCCCAGACGCAGCGUACUCAGGUAA
Molecule: ribosomal RNA, 3018 nt
Filed under: Triticum aestivum (bread wheat)
Lineage: Eukaryota; Viridiplantae; Streptophyta; Magnoliopsida; Poales; Poaceae
Description: partial small subunit ribosomal RNA
Source: RNAcentral